Molecule: ribosomal RNA, 432 nt
Filed under: uncultured Xanthobacteraceae bacterium
Lineage: Bacteria; Pseudomonadati; Pseudomonadota; Alphaproteobacteria; Hyphomicrobiales; Xanthobacteraceae
Description: bacterial SSU rRNA
Rfam family: Bacterial small subunit ribosomal RNA
Source: RNAcentral
AAGCAACGCGCAGAACCUUACCAACCCUUGACAUGUCCAGUAUGGGUUUCGAGAGAUGAGACCCUUCAGUUCGGCUGGCUGGAACACAGGUGCUGCAUGGCUGUCGUCAGCUCGUGUCGUGAGAUGUUGGGUUAAGUCCCGCAACGAGCGCAACCCUCGCCCUUAGUUGCCAUCAUUUAGUUGGGCACUCUAGGGGGACUGCCGGUGAUAAGCCGCGAGGAAGGUGGGGAUGACGUCAAGUCCUCAUGGCCCUUACGGGUUGGGCUACACACGUGCUACAAUGGCGGUGACAGUGGGAUGCAAAGGGGUGACCCUACGCAAAUCUCAAAAAGCCGUCUCAGUUCGGAUUGGGGUCUGCAACUCGACCCCAUGAAGUCGGAAUCGCUAGUAAUCGUGGAUCAGCAUGCCACGGUGAAUACGUUCCCGGGCCUU